GACGAACGCUGGCGGCGUGCUUAACACAUGCAAGUCGAACGGAAAGGCCCUGCUUUUGUUGGGUGCUCGAGUGGCGAACGGGUGAGUAACACGUGAGUAACCUGCCCUUGACGUUGGGAUAACUUCAGGAAACUGGGGCUAAUACCGGAUAGGAGCUCCUGCUGCAUGGUGGGGGUUGGAAAGUUUCGGCGGUUGGGGAUGGACUCGCGGCUUAUCAGCUUGUUGGUGGGGUAGUGGCUUACCAAGGCUUUGACGGGUAGCCGGCCUGAGAGGGUGACCGGCCACAUUGGGACUGAGAUACGGCCCAGACUCCUACGGGAGGCAGCAGUGGGGAAUAUUGCACAAUGGGCGGAAGCCUGAUGCAGCACCGCCGCGUGCGGGAUGACGGCCUUCGGGUUGUAAACCGCUUUCGCCUGUGACGAAGCGUGAGUGACGGUAAUGGGUAAAGAAGCACCGGCUAACUACGUG
This 468-nucleotide ribosomal RNA is filed under the name uncultured bacterium. RNAcentral describes it as "partial 16S ribosomal RNA". It matches the Rfam family "Bacterial small subunit ribosomal RNA", at positions 28 to 507 of the family's 1533-position model. The record is from RNAcentral.